CCUACGGGAGGCAGCAGUGGGGAAUAUUGCACAAUGGGGGAAACCCUGAUGCAGCGACGCCGCGUGAGUGAAGAAGUAUUUCGGUAUGUAAAGCUCUAUCAGCAGGGAAGAAGAAAGACGGUACCUGACUAAGAAGCCACGGCUAACUACGUGCCAGCAGCCGCGGUAAUACGUAGGGGGCAAGCGUUAUCCGGAUUUACUGGGUGUAAAGGGAGCGUAGACGGCUGUGCAAGUCUGAAGUGAAAGCCCAGGGCUCAACCCUGGGACUGCUUUGGAAACUGUGGAGCUAGGGUGCUGGAGAGGUAAGUGGAAUUCCUAGUGUAGCGGUGAACUGCGUAGAUAUUAGGAGGAACACCAGUGGCGAAGGCGGCUUACUGGACAGUAACUGACGUUGAGGCUCGAAAGCGUGGGGAGCAAACAGGAUUAGAUACCCCAGUAGUC
RNAcentral lists this ribosomal RNA (441 nucleotides) under uncultured bacterium. RNAcentral describes it as "partial 16S ribosomal RNA". It matches the Rfam family "Bacterial small subunit ribosomal RNA", at positions 338 to 795 of the family's 1533-position model. The record is from RNAcentral.